ACGCUCGACACCUACGGGAGGCAGCAGUGGGGAAUAUUGCACAAUGGGGGAAACCCUGAUGCAGCGACGCCGCGUGAGUGAAGAAGUAUUUCGGUAUGUAAAGCUCUAUCAGCAGGGAGAAGAUGACGGUACCUGAGUAAGAAGCCCCGGCUAACUACGUGCCACAGCCGCGGUAAUCUGAGGCGGCUGGCAAGGC
This 196-nucleotide ribosomal RNA is filed under the name uncultured bacterium. RNAcentral's name for it is "partial 16S ribosomal RNA". It matches the Rfam family "Bacterial small subunit ribosomal RNA", at positions 328 to 539 of the family's 1533-position model. The record is from RNAcentral.